GACGAACGCUGGCGGCGUGCUUAACACAUGCCAGUCGAACGGAAAGGCCCUGCUUUUGUGGGGUGCUCGAGUGGCGAACGGGUGAGUAACACGUGAGUAACCUGCCCUUGACUUUGGGAUAACUUCAGGAAACUGGGGCUAAUACCGGAUAGGAGCUCCUGCUGCAUGGUGGGGGUUGGAAAGUUUCGGCGUUUGGGGAUGGACUCGCGGCUUAUCAGCUUGUGGGUGGGGUAGUGGCUUACCAAGGCUUUGACGGGUAGCCGGCCUGAGAGGGUGACCGGCCACAUUGGGACUGAGAUACGGCCCAGACUCCUACGGGAGGCAGCAGUGGGGAAUAUUGCACAAUGGGCGGAAGCCUGAUGCAGCAACGCCGCGUGCGGGAUGACGGCCUUCGGGUUGUAAACCGCUUUCGCCUGUGACGAAGCGUGAGUGACGGUAAUGGGUAAAGAAGCACCGGCUAACUACGUG
This 468-nucleotide ribosomal RNA is filed under the name uncultured bacterium. RNAcentral's name for it is "partial 16S ribosomal RNA". It matches the Rfam family "Bacterial small subunit ribosomal RNA", at positions 28 to 507 of the family's 1533-position model. The record is from RNAcentral.